Molecule: ribosomal RNA, 479 nt
Filed under: uncultured bacterium
Lineage: Bacteria
Description: partial 16S ribosomal RNA
Rfam family: Bacterial small subunit ribosomal RNA
Source: RNAcentral
AUGAACGCUAGCGGCAGGCCUAACACAUGCAAGUCGAGGGGGAAGUUACUUUCGGGUGACUGAGACCGGCGUACGGGUGCGUAACGCGUAUACAAUCUGCCUUUCACUGGGGGAUAGCCCGAAGAAAUUUGGAUUAAUACCCCAUAGUAUAUAGGGACGGCAUCGUUUUUAUAUUAAAGCUUAGGUGGUGAAAGAUGAGUAUGCGUUCUAUUAGCUAGUUGGAGAGGUAACGGCUCCCCAAGGCGAUGAUAGAUAGGGGUUCUGAGAGGGAUGCCCCCCACACUGGUACUGAGAUACGGACCAGACUCCUACGGGAGGCAGCAGUGAGGAAUAUUGGACAAUGGUCGGAAGACUGAUCCAGCCAUGCCGCGUGCAGGAUGAAGGUCUUAUGGAUUGUAAACUGCUUUUGUAAGGGAAGAAUAAGGGCUACGCGUAGUUUGAUGACGGUACCUUACGAAUAAGCAUCGGCUAACUCCGUG